UCAUAACGCCGUUGCCACAACUAAUAUCAACAAAUACAGAGACCAAGUGAACAACUGAACUCUGAACAAAUAUUUUGUUUCUUUAAACAAAAUAUUUGUUCAGAGUUUCAGAGUUGUUUCAGAUAUUCUAAAGUCGAGAAAAUGCCGAAAAUAGUUGAAAAGCCGCAAAGAAAGAGUAUCAGGAAAUGUUAUGCAGAAUUGAGGGCAGCUCAUCUGAAAAGUAAUCCUGAUACUCUUUCAUCUACCAUUUUCCAGAUGGUAUCAAACAUUUUCGAUCUGAACGUUUCCACAAUCCGAAACAUUGUUAAUGAAGAGGACGACAAAGAAUUUCCUCCUAUUGGGAGACCCAAAAAGGUGGAAGAAAUUGAGAAGUUUAUUUUUAGAAAAGACCUGCAACGGCGAAUUUGGGAUUAUAAUUUGAAAAAUGAAUACUUUAGUGUUGACACUCUACUUAAUUAUGCAAAAAAUGAUUUGGAAUAUACCGGGGGACGGACAUCACUUUACAAAAUUUUAAAAUCGAUGGGUUACAAAUACAAAAGGGUGGAUGAACGCAAAAUUUUAUGUGAACAAAAGCAUGUCGUUGCAGCCAAAAUUACUUUCCUGCGAAAAUUUCUACAAUAUAAAUCAGAUGAAGAUAUCAGAUUCGUGUUCCUCGACGAAACUUGGAUUUACCAAAAUGGUUCUUCUGUUCGUCGAUGGACACACGAAUCUGAUAUAAAGAGCAACCCAUCCAAAAUUAAACAUGAAGGAAAACGUUUUACGGUUUUACACGCAGGAAGUAAUUGUGGAUUUUUAGAGGGGUGUAGUUUAAUUUUAAAUUCGGCAAACAAUGACAGAGACUAUCACAAUACAAUGACCAGUGAAUUAUUUCAUAAUUGGAUCAUUAAUCAACUGAUUCCUGCAUUAGCUAAGAUUCCUGGAAAAUGUGUGGUUGUAAUGGACAAUGCCCCUUAUCAUUCGGUGCAAUUGGACAAGCCACCCACAUUUUCCAGUAAGAAAAGUGAAAUGCAGGAUUGGUUGAUUAAAAACAAAAUUAAUUUCAGUCAAAAUUCAAAUAAAAAACAACUUUGGCAAUUAAUACUACCCUUUCGAAAUAGAAGUCAACGAAAAUAUUUAGUGGAUGACCUUUUGAAAGAGCAUGGGCAUGAUGUUCUUAGAUUACCCCCAUACCAUUGUCAGUAUAAUCCUAUUGAAAUGGCCUGGGCGUUCUCUAAGAACUUCUACAACAAGAACAUAAAUUCUCUUCCCUAUUCCAAAGAUAGGGUUUUGAAUUUAUGGACUUUGGCUCUUUCAAAAUGUACAUCGGAAAUGUGGAAAAAUUUUUGUAUGCAUUGUGAUAGGCUCAUAACUGACGACUGGGCUAAAUUUAUGGGUAAUCUCCCAAUAGCAGAUAUUCCUCCAUUCAUUAUUUCAUUGGGAGAAUCAGAUUCUUCUGAUGAUGAGUCUGAUUCAAUCGAUGACCUAAUGAAUGCGGAAUAAUAAUGUAGAGGAAAUUUUGAGGUUGUCCAUUCUGCUACAAAAGAUGAAAUGUUCGAGGUACCUACACCCUCAGUAUACAUCUGAAGCAAGUUUUGAAAAGUAAUUGAUCUCUCUGAAUAUCCAUCGGCCAGACUACUAGGCAGUUGUAAACGAGAAAUCCAAAAAUUUCAAUAGGAUCAUCAUUCAUUGAGAAUGUUGGAACUGAAUGGAAUGAAAUUAAAUCUCGCAGUAAGGCAGAGGGAAUGGCAUUUUAACACUAUAUACAUUCAAGAAUGUUGGAACUGAACGGAAUGAAAUAAAAUCUCGCAGUAAGGCAGAGGGAAUGGCAUUUUAACACUAUAUACAUUCAAGAAUGUUGGAACUGAACGGAAUGAAAUAAAAUCUCGCAGUAAGGCAGAGGGAAUGGCAUUUUAACACUAUAUACAUUCAAGAAUGUUGGAACUGAACGGAAUGAAAUAAAAUCUCGCAGUAAGGCAGAGGGAAUGGCAUUUUAACACUAUAUACAUUCAAGAAUGUUGGAACUGAACGGAAUGAAAUAAAAUCUCGCAGUAAGGCAGAGGGAAUGGCAUUUUAACACUAUAUACAUUCAAGAAUGUUGGAACUGAACGGAAUGAAAUAAAAUCUCGCAGUAGGGCAGAGGGAAUGGCAUUUUAGUACUAUAUAUAUUGAAUAUUUUUGUAUAAACAAAAAGAUCUCUCUUCUCAUCUUCUUAAUUUCAAAAAGAAUUAUUGUACAUACAAGCAAAAUGUCAUUCAAUUUGCCCAAAAACAAUCUAUAAACUACUCGGAGGUAAACACAAGCUUGAAAUUUCCAAACAAACUGCUAUGUAUUCAUUUAUAUAUAUAUAUAUAAGAUGGUUUUCUGUUAGAGGGCGUGAGUGGCCCAGAUAAGUUGGGUUCAGGGUGCCUAGAUUAUUAAGGUUCAAAUAGUCAUUAUUCAAUACUUUAACAUCUCCAUAUGAAAUUUCUUGCUCAGGUGUAUCAGGCCAUAAUAUUGUGUGAUCAUCUGCCAACCACUGUUGAGUUGCUCAAUAAAAACAAAUAAAAAAAGAAACAAUCAAAUGUAUCUUGUAUAAAAAAGUUACUAGAGUGUUAAGGAUUUUCAAUAAAUGUCAUCGUUAAAUAAGUUCUAGAAGGUCAAUUUUACAUUUGACUUGUCCUAUACAUUGUGAAUGUCUUAAGGGAUCAAUAAAUAUUUUGUGUGAAA
Coccinella septempunctata (seven-spotted ladybird) is the source of this 2685-nucleotide RNA transcript. RefSeq lists it as uncharacterized. Lineage: Eukaryota; Metazoa; Arthropoda; Insecta; Coleoptera; Coccinellidae. The record is from RefSeq and is a predicted model, not a curated record. The transcript has 3 exons.